RNAcentral lists this ribosomal RNA (497 nucleotides) under uncultured bacterium. RNAcentral describes it as "partial 16S ribosomal RNA". It matches the Rfam family "Bacterial small subunit ribosomal RNA", at positions 28 to 507 of the family's 1533-position model. The record is from RNAcentral.
GAUGAACGCUGGCGGCGUGCUUAAUACAUGCAAGUCGAGCGAACAGACGAGGAGCUUGCUCCUCUGACGUUAGCGGCGGACGGGUGAGUAACACGUGGAUAACCUACCUAUAAGACUGGGAUAACUUCGGGAAACCGGAGCUAAUACCGGAUAAUAUAUUGAACCGCAUGGUUCAAUAGUGAAAGACGGUUUUGCUGUCACUUAUAGAUGGAUCCGCGCCGCAUUAGCUAGUUGGUAAGGUAACGGCUUACCAAGGCAACGAUGCGUAGCCGACCUGAGAGGGUGAUCGGCCACACUGGAACUGAGACACGGUCCAGACUCCUACGGGAGGCAGCAGUAGGGAAUCUUCCGCAAUGGGCGAAAGCCUGACGGAGCAACGCCGCGUGAGUGAUGAAGGUCUUCGGAUCGUAAAACUCUGUUAUUAAGGAAGAACAAAUGUGUAAGUAACUAUGCACGUCUUGACGGUACCUAAUCAGAAAGCCACGGCUAACUACGUG